RNAcentral lists this transfer RNA (77 nucleotides) under Paracoccaceae bacterium. RNAcentral describes it as "Rhodobacteraceae bacterium tRNA-Asp". It matches the Rfam family "tRNA". Rfam says of the family: Transfer RNA (tRNA) molecules are approximately 80 nucleotides in length. Their secondary structure includes four short double-helical elements and three loops (D, anti-codon, and T loops). Lineage: Bacteria; Pseudomonadati; Pseudomonadota; Alphaproteobacteria; Rhodobacterales; Paracoccaceae. The record is from RNAcentral.
GGUCUCGUGGUGUAGNGGGUUAACAUGUCUGCCUGUCACGCAGAAGAUCGCGGGUUCGAAUCCCGUCGAGACCGCCA